AACUGCGAUAAGUAAUGUGAAUUGCAGAAUUCAGUGAAUCAUCGAGUCUUUGAACGCACAUUGCGCCCCCUGGCAUUCCGAGGGGCAUGCCUGUCCGAGCGUCAUUGCUGCCCUUCAAGCCCGGCUUGUGUGUUGGGUCGUCGUCCCCUCCGGGGGACGGGCCCGAAAGGCAGCGGCGGCACCGCGUCCGGUCCUCGAGCGUAUGGGGCUUUGUCACCCGCUCGAUAAGGACCGGCCGGGCGCCAGCCGGCGUCUCCAACCUUUUUUUCUCAGGUUGACCUCGGAUCAGGUAGGGAUACCCGCUGAACUUAAGC
This 314-nucleotide unclassified non-coding RNA is filed under the name plant metagenome. RNAcentral's name for it is "partial contains 5.8S ribosomal RNA, internal transcribed spacer 2, and large subunit ribosomal RNA". The stretch from base 1 to 104 matches the Rfam family "5.8S ribosomal RNA", at positions 51 to 154 of the family's 154-position model. The record is from RNAcentral.